Molecule: non-coding RNA, 572 nt
Organism: Bactrocera oleae (olive fruit fly)
Lineage: Eukaryota; Metazoa; Arthropoda; Insecta; Diptera; Tephritidae
Source: RefSeq, a predicted model, not a curated record
GUGCCGGAGUAGCCGAUAGCAAAAAGGAGUCACACCCCACCGCCAGGAAGUGAAUAGAGAAAAUGGACCAAUAUAUACUUUUUAUCAUACUCACUCUCAUUACAACUUCCUCUUCGGACGUACAAGUUUUAGACUAUAGCAAAUCCCAACUAGUGACGAUAGACAAUGGACAAGCAAAAAUUCAAAACGGUACAUUCAGAUUCAUUCAUCUCAUCGACUUAGAGAAAUACGAACAAUUUUUAACAGAUACAUAUGAAGAAAUGAUCAACCAAAUCCCUAACAACCACCUCCUAUAUCCCAUUCUAAAACAUGAAACCAUCCAAACCUUCGAAAUUCUAAACGCUCUAAAACCCUCAAAAUCUAUCAGAAGAAAAAAAUCAUUUAACAUAUUAGGAACGGCAUGGAAAUACAUAGCCGGAUCUCCCGAUCACGAAGAUCUUGAAAUAAUUAUAAAUAACUUAGAAAAUUUGAAUAAAAAUAAUAAUAAACAAGUAGUAAUAAAUAAAUUAUUCGAAAAACGAAUAAAUAACAUAACCCACAUUAUGAACAAGAUGAUAAAUACAAUUAGAAAA